This 495-nucleotide ribosomal RNA is filed under the name uncultured bacterium. RNAcentral's name for it is "partial 16S ribosomal RNA". It matches the Rfam family "Bacterial small subunit ribosomal RNA", at positions 28 to 507 of the family's 1533-position model. The record is from RNAcentral.
GACGAACGCUGGCGGCGUGCCUAAUACAUGCAAGUAGAACGCUGAAGGAGGAGCUUGCUCUUCUGGAUGAGUUGCGAACGGGUGAGUAACGCGUAGGUAAUCUGCCUGGUAGCGGGGGAUAACUAUUGGAAACGAUAGCUAAUACCGCAUAAGAGUAGAUGUUGCAUGACAUUUACUUAAAAGGUGCAAUUGCAUCACUACCAGAUGGACCUGCGUUGUAUUAGCUAGUUGGUGGGGUAACGGCUUACCAAGGCGACGAUACAUAGCCGACCUGAGAGGGUGAUCGGCCACACUGGGGCUGAGACACGGCCCAGACUCCUACGGGAGGCAGCAGUAGGGAAUCUUCGGCAAUGGACGGAAGUCUGACCGAGCAACGCCGCGUGAGUGAAGAAGGGUUUCGGAUCGUAAAGCUCUGUUGUAAGAGAAGAACGAGUGUGAGAGUGGAAAGUUCACACUGUGACGGUAUCUUACCAGAAAGGGACGGCUAACUACGUG